AAUCGGAAUCAGCAUUUGACUUGAAGUCCGAAAGAUGUUCCAUGACACGUGCUCAUCUGAGCAUCACCCUGGCUGUUUCUCUAAAUGCUAAUCAACUCAUUCUUCCAUUUGAAAUUUGGAGACAAUUCCACAUGGUGAGUCAUCAGUGUGAUCCGGAGCAAGCGUGAGGGGAGAUAUAAGCCUGCCUGAAUGUUACCGAAACCCCAGAGGACGACAUGCGCACACACAAUGAAGGAGGACUCAACCUUGAAAACCCCCACAAUCCCCCCUGGGGGGUUUCCCUAAAUGGCCUGUUCUUUCAGUCAUUGCUUUCUUUGUGUAGGAGGAAAAAACAAAACAAAAGCAACAUUUGCUCGUGAGCAAUUUA
Molecule: long non-coding RNA, 367 nt
Organism: Syngnathus typhle (broad-nosed pipefish)
Lineage: Eukaryota; Metazoa; Chordata; Actinopteri; Syngnathiformes; Syngnathidae
Exons: 2
Source: RefSeq, a predicted model, not a curated record